GUGGGUCUCUAUGGGGGAUCUUGUGGGUCUCUAUGGGGGAUCUUGUGGGUCUCUAUGGGGGGAUCUUGUGGGUCUCUAUGGGGGGAUCUUGUGGGUCUCUAUGGGGGGAUCUUGUGGGGUCUCCAUGGGUCUCUAUGGGGAUCUUGUGGGUCUCUAUCAGGAUCUUGUGGGUCUCCAUGUGUCUCUAUCGGGAUCUUGUGGGUCUCUGUGGGUCUCUAUGGGGGAUCUUGUGGGUCUCUAUGGGGGAUCUUGUGGGUCUCUUUGUGUCCUUAUGGAGGUCUGGGGGUCUCCAUGGGUCUCUAUGGGUUCAUGUGGGGGUCCUGGGGGUCUCUAUGGGUUCAUAUGGGGGUCCUUAUGGGGUCUCUAUGGCUCUGUAUGGAUCCUUAUCUGAGUCUUGGGGGUCUCUAUGGGUUUUUAUGUGGUUCCUGAGCAUCUCUAUGGGUCUCUGUGGGUUCUUAUGGGGGUCCUUGGGGUUUCUAUGGGUCUUUGUGUGUCCUUAUGAGGGUCUGGGGGUCUCCAUGGAUCUCUAUGGGUCCUUGUGGGGGUCCUGGGGGUUUCUAUGGGUCCUCAUGGGACUUCUGGGGGUCUCUAUGGUUCUGCAUGGACCCUUAUGGGGGUCUUGGGUGUCUCUAUGGGUUUUCGUGGGGGUCCUGGGGGUCUCCGUGGGUCUCUAUGGGUUCUUAUGGGGGUCCUGGGGGUCUCCAUGGGUCUCUGUGGGUUCUUACAGGGGUCCUGAGGGUCUCUGUGGGUCUCUGGGGGUUCUUACGGGGGUCCUGGGGGUCUCUAUGGGUUCUUAUGGGGUUUCUGGGGGUACUGACUGUUUGUGUGGUUCUCUAUGGAUUCUUAUGGGAGUCCUCGGGGUUUCUAUGGGUCUCUGUGGGUCCUCAUGGGGGUCCUGUGGGUCUCUAUGGGCUCUUAGGGAUCUGUAUGGGUCUCUGUGUGUUUUUAUGGGAGUCUGGGGGUCUCCAUGGGUCUCUGUGGGUCCAUAUGGGGGUCCUGAGGGUGUCUGUGGGUCUCUGUGGGUUCAUAUGGGGGUCCUGGGGAUCUCCAUAAUUCUCUAUGGGUCCUGGGGGUCUCUAUGUGUCCUAAUGGAGGUCUGGGGGUCUCCAUGGGUCUUUGUGGGUCCUUAUGGGGGGUCCUGGGGGUCUCUAUGG
RNAcentral lists this long non-coding RNA (1154 nucleotides) under Numida meleagris (helmeted guineafowl). RNAcentral's name for it is "lncRNA (ENSNMEG00000000911.1)". The record is from RNAcentral. Lineage: Eukaryota; Metazoa; Chordata; Aves; Galliformes; Numididae.